Molecule: long non-coding RNA, 911 nt
Organism: Salvelinus namaycush (lake trout)
Lineage: Eukaryota; Metazoa; Chordata; Actinopteri; Salmoniformes; Salmonidae
Exons: 3
Source: RefSeq, a predicted model, not a curated record
CCCUGUGUCUUCCAGGUGCUGUACAGCGAUGGUCAGAAUGGUAGAGAGUUCAUGACCUACCUGACACUCUCACCUGUACAGAUGACUUUCCACGGCAUCGGGAGCUCCAUCGAAGCCAGCCACGACCAGGCUGCUCUAAGUGCCUUGAAACAGCUGUCGGAGCAGGGACUGGACACGGUGGACUGCCCUAUCAAGAGCAGCGAGGUGUGUGUCAGAGAGGACGGACACUAAACAGACUAACUCAGGCACCACCCACCACUCAGGUCGCCAUGGAUACAACAGGCUGUCGUCAAGGGGAUGACCCCUGACUCUUCCCCGUCACCUAUGACCCCUAUUCCCCCACGACCGCCGCUGCAUCCUGGCAACAACCUGGAACAACAUGCAAUGGAGUGUGUGGAUGUGUACCGAGAGAAGAAAAAAAUGAAAUAACCGACUAACUAGAAAAAGAUGGGGAAAAACCUAUGAGUCUCUAUGUGAAGACAACACUAUCCUAACACAUUACAUGUAUUGAUCAUUUACGAGGAAUUUAAAUUUUAAAAAAUAAAUACAAAUAUAUUUAAAAAAAACUAGAUUGAGUAUAAACAUCUAGAUUUUCCCUGUUGGAUAGAUGUGUAAUGAAAUGGGUCAAACCCCAAUAAAGUUGGAUAGAUGUGUAAUGAUAUGGGUCAAAACCCAAUAUGUAUAUCAUGCCAUGAAGACAGAGGCAACAUUAUAGGGGGGGGGGGGGGGGGAACAAAGUUGUGUAGCUUAUUUUCCCAGGGGUAAUUAUGUUUAUUUUCUAGUUUAUUCAUCUAACAAUGCUUGAGUACUGACUGUAUUAUAAAAUUAGUCAAUAGCAGUGCUGUGGAAGUUGUAGCUGUUGUCUUCUCAUACAGUAUAUUCACCCAGCUUAUCUUUCAUGCUGAUAUUAA